Molecule: ribosomal RNA, 253 nt
Filed under: uncultured prokaryote
Description: partial 16S ribosomal RNA
Rfam family: Bacterial small subunit ribosomal RNA
Source: RNAcentral
UACAGAGGGUGCAAGCGUUAAUCGGAAUUACUGGGCGUAAAGGGCGCGUAGGUGGUUAAUUAAGUCAGAUGUGAAAUCCCUGGGCUUAACCUAGGAAUUGCAUAUGAAACUGAUUAGCUAGAGUGCGGUAGAGGGAAGUGGAAUUUCCGGUGUAGCGGUGAAAUGCGUAGAUAUCGGAAGGAACACCAGUGGCGAAGGCGACUUCCUGGACCGUUACUGACACUGAGGCGCGAAAGCGUGGGGAGCGAACAGG